RNAcentral lists this ribosomal RNA (229 nucleotides) under uncultured bacterium. RNAcentral's name for it is "partial 16S ribosomal RNA". It matches the Rfam family "Bacterial small subunit ribosomal RNA", at positions 568 to 796 of the family's 1533-position model. The record is from RNAcentral.
UGCGUAGGCGGGCUAAUAAGUCAGUGGUGAAAUCUCUCGGCUCAACCGGGAAACUGCCAUUGAUACUGUUAGUCUUGAGUUCGGUUGAGGUAGGCGGAAUGUGUAACGUAGCGGUGAAAUGCUUAGAUAUUACACAGAACACCAAUUGCGUAGGCAGCUUACUAGACCGACACUGACGCUGAGGCACGAAAGCGUGGGGAGCGAACAGGAUUAGAUACCCUGGUAGUCC